This 371-nucleotide ribosomal RNA is filed under the name uncultured organism. RNAcentral describes it as "bacterial SSU rRNA". It matches the Rfam family "Bacterial small subunit ribosomal RNA", at positions 526 to 896 of the family's 1533-position model. The record is from RNAcentral.
CGGAGGGUGCAAACGUUGCUCGGAAUCAUUGGGCGUAAAGCGCACGUAGGCGGACCGCUAAGUCGGAUGUGAAAGCCCUCGGCUUAACCGAGGAAGUGCAUUCGAAACUGACAGUCUUGAGUAUGGAAGAGGGUCGCGGAAUUCCCGGUGUAGAGGUGAAAUUCGUAGAUAUCGGGAGGAACACCAGUGGCGAAGGCGGCGACCUGGGCCAAUACUGACGCUGAGGUGCGAAAGCGUGGGGAGCAAACAGGAUUAGAUACCUGGUAGUCCACGCCGUAAACGAUGAGUGCUAGAUGUCGCGGGUAUUGACCCCUGCGGCGUCGUAGCUAACGCGUUAAGCACUCCGCCUGGGGAGUACGGCCGCAAGGCUA